RNAcentral lists this ribosomal RNA (856 nucleotides) under uncultured bacterium. RNAcentral describes it as "bacterial SSU rRNA". It matches the Rfam family "Bacterial small subunit ribosomal RNA", at positions 637 to 1504 of the family's 1533-position model. The record is from RNAcentral.
UCAGCUAGAGUAUGGUAGAGGAAAGCAGAAUUUCUAGUGUAGAGGUGAAAUUCGUAGAUAUUAGAAAGAAUACCAAUUGCGAAGGCAGCUUUCUGGAUCAUUACUGACACUGAGGAACGAAAGCAUGGGUAGCGAAGAGGAUUAGAUACCCUCGUAGUCCAUGCCGUAAACGAUGUGUGUUAGACGUUGGAAAUUUAUUUUCAGUGUCGCAGCGAAAGCGAUAAACACACCGCCUGGGGAGUACGACCGCAAGGUUAAAACUCAAAUGAAUUGACGGGGACCCGCACAAGUAGUGGAGCAUGUGGUUUAAUUCGAAGAUACGCGCAGAACCUUACCAACACUUGACAUGUUCGUCGCGACUUUAAGAGAUUAAAGUUUUCGGUUCGGCCGGACGAAACACAGGUGCUGCAUGGCUGUCGUCAGCUCGUGUCGUGAGAUGUUGGGUUAAGUCCCGCAACGAGCGCAACCCUCACUUUUAGUUGCCAUCAUUAAGUUGGGCACUCUGAAAGAACUGCCAGUGAUAAGCUGGAGGAAGGUGGGGAUGACGUCAAGUCCUCAUGGCCCUUACGUGUUGGGCUACACACGUGCUACAAUGGUAUCUACAACAGGAAGCAAAACUGCGAAGUUAAGCAAAUCCUCAAAAGAUACCUCAGUUCGGAUUGCACUCUGCAACUCGAGUGCAUGAAGCUGGAAUUACUAGUAAUCGUGGAUCAGCGUGCCACGGUGAAUGCGUUCCCGGGUCUUGUACACACCGCCCGUCACACCAUGGGAGUUGGUUCUACCUUAAGGCAAGGUUUCAAACCCUUGACCACGGUAUAGUCAGCGACUGGGGUGAAGUCAUAACAAGGUAACCGUA